UUUGAUCAUGGCUCAGAUUGAACGCUAGUGGUAUGCCUUAUACAUGCAAGUCGAACGGUACCAUAGGCUUAUGCUUGAUGACGAGUGGCAAACGGGUGAGUAAUACAUCAGAACAUGCCUUGAAGUGGGGGAUAGCUUGGUGAAAACUAAAUUAAUACCGCAUACGAUCCUUAUGCUUCGGGGAUGAAAGGAGGGGACCUGUCUAGGCCCUGUGCUUUAAGAUUGGCUGAUGGUUGAUUAGCUAGUUGGCGGGGUAAAUGCUCACCAAGGCAAAGAUCAAUAGCUGGUCUGAGAGGAUGGACAGCCACACUGGGAUUGAGACACGGCCCAGACUUCUAUGGAAGGCAGCAGUAGGGAAUCUUGGACAAUGGGCGAAAGCCUGAUCCAGCAAUACCGUGUGUGUGAUGAAGGCCCCUGGGUUGUAAAGCACUUUUGUCUGGGAAGAAAACCUAUUCAACUAACAAUUGAGUACCAUGACUGUACCAGAAGAAUAAGCACCGGCUAACUACGUGCCAGCAGCCGCGGUAAAACGUAGGGUGUAAGCGUUAAUCGGAAUUACUGGGCGUAAAGGGUGUGUAGGUGGUUUAUCAAGACUGGCUGUUAAAUCCUAGGGCUUAACCUUAGAUCGCAUCAGUUACUCGUAGACUAGAGUAUGGAAGAGGGGGGUAGAAUUUUGCAUGUAGCAGUGAAAUGCGUUGAUAUGUAAAGGAAUACCAAAAGCGAAGGCAUCCCCCUGGGACAAUACUGACACUAAAGCACGAAAGCAUGGGGAGCAAACAGGAUUAGAUACCCUGGUAGUCCAUGCCCUAAACGAUGUCGACUAGUUGUUGGAGAGUUUCUUUCCAGUAAUACAGCUAACGCAUAAAGUCGACCGCCUGGGGAGUACGGUCGCAAGGCUAAAACUCAAAGGAAUUGACGGGGACCAGCACAAGCAGUGGAUGAUGUGGAUUAAUUCGAUGCAACACGAAAAACCUUACCUACCCUUGACAUAGACCUGGAUCCUGCUGAGAAGUGGGAGUGCUUUGUUACAUCAAAAGCCUUGGUCUACAGGUGCUGCAUGGCUGUCGUCAGCUCGUGUCGUGAGGUGUUGGGUUAAGUCCUGUAACGAGCGUAACCCUUAUCUUUAAUUGCCGCUAGAUGGUUUAGUUACCUUAAAGAGACUGCCAGCGAUGAGUUGGAGGAAGGCGAGGAUAACGUCAAGUCCCCAUGGCCCUUAUGGGUAGGGCCUCACACGUCAUACAAUGGCUGACACAAAGAGUUGCCAACUUGCAAGAGGGAGCUAAUCUCAUAAAUUCAGUCUUAGUUCGGAUUGUACUCUGAAACUCGGGUAUAUGAAGGUGGAAUUGCUAGUAAUCGUGGAUCAGCAUGUCACGGUGAAUACGUUCUCUGGUCUUGUACACACCGCCCGUCACACCAUGGAAGUAGGUUUUAUCAGAAGUGGAUAGCUCUAACCUCAUUGUAGGAAGGGUUACCAUCAAGAUAAGGUUUAUGACUGGGGUGAAGUCGUAACAAGGAUCUGCU
RNAcentral lists this ribosomal RNA (1521 nucleotides) under Candidatus Tremblayella phenacoccinincola. RNAcentral describes it as "bacterial SSU rRNA". It matches the Rfam family "Bacterial small subunit ribosomal RNA". The record is from RNAcentral. Lineage: Bacteria; Pseudomonadati; Pseudomonadota; Betaproteobacteria.